AUACGGAGGGUACAAGCGUUAAUCGGAAUUACUGGGCGUAAAGCGCGCGUAGGCGGUUUGAUAAGUCGGAUGUGAAAUCCCCGGGCUCAACCUGGGAAUUGCAUUCGAUACUGUCAGGCUAGAGUGUGGUAGAGGGAAGUGGAAUUUCCGGUGUAGCGGUGAAAUGCGUAGAUAUCGGAAGGAACACCAGUGGCGAAGGCGGCUUCCUGGACCAACACUGACGCUGAGGUGCGAAAGCGUGGGGAGCAAACAGGAUUAGAAACCCUUGUAGUCC
This 274-nucleotide ribosomal RNA is filed under the name uncultured bacterium. Its description in RNAcentral is "partial 16S ribosomal RNA". It matches the Rfam family "Bacterial small subunit ribosomal RNA", at positions 523 to 796 of the family's 1533-position model. The record is from RNAcentral.